This 270-nucleotide unclassified non-coding RNA is filed under the name Ascomycota sp. RNAcentral's name for it is "partial contains small subunit ribosomal RNA, internal transcribed spacer 1, and 5.8S ribosomal RNA". The stretch from base 1 to 47 matches the Rfam family "Eukaryotic small subunit ribosomal RNA", at positions 1785 to 1831 of the family's 1831-position model. Lineage: Eukaryota; Fungi; Ascomycota. The record is from RNAcentral.
AAAGUCGUAACAAGGUUUCCGUAGGUGAACCUGCGGAAGGAUCAUUAACGAGUUAGGGUCUUCUAGGCCCGACCUCCCAACCCUUUGUUUACCGAACCUCUGUUGCUUCGGCGGACCCGUCUCACGACCGCCGGAGGACCGCCGAAAGGCGUCCUCUGGCCAGCGUCCGCCGAUAGCCAACCACUUAAACUUCUGAAUGAAUCGUGUCUUAUGUCUGAGUCUAUGAUUAAAUAAAAAGCAAAACUUUCAACAACGGAUCUCUUGGUUCUG